This 774-nucleotide ribosomal RNA is filed under the name uncultured bacterium. Its description in RNAcentral is "bacterial SSU rRNA". It matches the Rfam family "Bacterial small subunit ribosomal RNA", at positions 8 to 796 of the family's 1533-position model. The record is from RNAcentral.
AGAGUUUGAUCAUGGCUCAGAAUCAACGCUGGCGGCGUGCCUCAGACAUGCAAGUCGAACGAUUAAAGCUCCCUUCGGGGAGUGUAUAAAGUGGCGCACGGGUGAGUAACACGUAAGUAAUCUGCCUUCGAGUGGGGAAUAACGGUCGGAAACGGCCGCUAAUACCGCAUAACGCAGCGGCACCUAAUGGUGACAGUUGUUAAAGGAGCAAUCCGCUUGAAGAGGAGCUUGCGGCAGAUUAGCUAGUUGGUAAGGUAAUGGCUUACCAAGGCUACGAUCUGUAACCGGUCUAAGAGGACGGUCGGUCACACUGACACUGAAUAACGGGUCAGACUCCUACGGGAGGCAGCAGUCGGGAAUUUUGGGCAAUGGGCGAAAGCCUGACCCAGCAACGCCGCGUGAAGGAUGAAGUAUUUCGGUAUGUAAACUUCGAAAGAAUGGGAAGAAUCAAUGACAGUACCAUUUAUAAGGUCCGGCUAACUACGUGCCAGCAGCCGCGGUAAUACGUAGGGACCAAGCGUUGUUCGGAUUUACUGGGCGUAAGGGCGCGUAGGCGGCAAUUCAAGUCAUCUGUGAAAUCUCCGGGCUUAACCCGGAACGGUCAGAUGAUACUGCUUUGCUAGAGUGCGGAAGGGGCAAUCGGAAUUCUUGGUGUAGCGGUGAAAUGCAGAUAUCAAGAGGAACACCUGAGGUGAAGACGGGUUGCUGGGCCGACACUGACGCUGAUAGCGCGAAAGCCAGGGGAGCAAACGGGAUUAGAUACCCUAGUAGUCC